AACGCACAUUGCGCCCUCUGGUAUUCCGGAGGGCAUGCCUGUUCGAGCGUCAUUUCAACCAAUCACGCGAGUGGUGUUGGGGCUUGCUACACAGCAUCCCUUAAAAACAGUGGCGGUGCUAUAGGGCUCUCAGCGUAGUAAUUAUUCCGCUCUUGGACCCUAGACACACCUGUCAUAACCCCCGAUUUUCUUAAGGUUGACCUCGGAUCAGGUAGGGAUACCCGCUGAACUUAA
This 234-nucleotide unclassified non-coding RNA is filed under the name uncultured fungus. RNAcentral's name for it is "partial contains 5.8S ribosomal RNA, internal transcribed spacer 2, and large subunit ribosomal RNA". The stretch from base 1 to 52 matches the Rfam family "5.8S ribosomal RNA", at positions 103 to 154 of the family's 154-position model. The record is from RNAcentral. Lineage: Eukaryota; Fungi.